GGUGGGGAUCAUUCUCUUCUCCCAGGUAACAAGCAACAGGACAAGAGGAAAUGGCCUCAAGUUGUUCAGGGAAGGUUCAGGUUGGACAUCAGGAAGAAU
Corvus hawaiiensis (hawaiian crow) is the source of this 99-nucleotide long non-coding RNA. RefSeq lists it as uncharacterized. Lineage: Eukaryota; Metazoa; Chordata; Aves; Passeriformes; Corvidae. The transcript has 3 exons. The record is from RefSeq and is a predicted model, not a curated record.